This 948-nucleotide long non-coding RNA is filed under the name Equus asinus (donkey). RNAcentral's name for it is "lncRNA (ENSEASG00005034158.1)". The record is from RNAcentral. Lineage: Eukaryota; Metazoa; Chordata; Mammalia; Perissodactyla; Equidae.
AGAGCGGCCUGGACUCGCCAGGGAGACCAGGGACGCGACGCCAGAGCCCCGCACGACACGGGGAUCGGGGCGCACGGCGGGCAGAGCAGAGGAAUUAUUCAAGGCUGGUUUCGGUUCUCUUCUGGCGACGACCGCAUCUUCGUACUCAAGGCACAGAUUACGGGUCAGCUCAAUUCGCCAGCGGCCGGAGGCUGCCUCCAAGCACCGAGCAGGACGGGAGGGAUGCUCUGCAAGCCGCGUCCGGCUGGAGGCGGCGGAGGCCUGAACGGGUCAUGGUCCCCGAAGUCACUAGGGACAGGGGACGUGGAUGGAAUAUAAGAGGGGAGAUCGACAGUCAAUCCCACCUCUGUCCCUUUCCGCCUGUGACCCCGGUCAGCUCAGUCUUCUCAUCUGUGACAUGGGCGUUGACACGAGUGUUCAGCAUGGGAACCCACCCCCGUCGUCUUCCACUGGUGCUGUCACCCGCGGCCUGGCUGAGCCGGGCACAGUGGGAGCCUCUGCAGGGCCCAGGGAAGGGGCAUGGCGGUGCCGAAGGACACGAGAAAUGGAAAGAGAGGGUUCAGCCACUCUGGCCUCCCAGGGGCGGCGAUGUGAGAACACGGCCCCAAGAUCCUUUGACGCUCCUCCUGUGGAAAGGUGGGGUUCCCGUUCCCUCCCCUUGAUGCUGGCCUCCAUGGCAGAAGGUGACGGAGUCGACAGUCCUCCCAGAACUGCCAGCUCCUGCUUUUUGCCUCUUGGGUGCUCCCUCUUGGAACCCAGCCGCCAUGCUGCGAGGAAGCCCAGAGGUCCCGAGGACAGGCCCGCGUGGAAGGCCCGGUUGUGCGUGUGUGUGUGUGUGUGUGAGCUCCUCAGAAAAGGGCAUCCAGCCCCAGUAGGUGCCCCAGCAGACGCCACGUGGAGCGGGGGUGAGCUGACCCUGCCAAGAUCGGCCCAAAUUGCAGAUUCACA